This 668-nucleotide ribosomal RNA is filed under the name uncultured bacterium. RNAcentral's name for it is "bacterial SSU rRNA". It matches the Rfam family "Bacterial small subunit ribosomal RNA", at positions 161 to 847 of the family's 1533-position model. The record is from RNAcentral.
UGCUAAUACCGCAUAAGCGCACAGCUUCGCAUGAAGCAGUGUGAAAAACUCCGGUGGUACAAGAUGGACCCGCGUCUGAUUAGCUGGUUGGUGAGGUAACGGCCCACCAAGGCGACGAUCAGUAGCCGGCCUGAGAGGGUGAACGGCCACAUUGGGACUGAGACACGGCCCAAACUCCUACGGGAGGCAGCAGUGGGGAAUAUUGCACAAUGGGGGAAACCCUGAUGCAGCAACGCCGCGUGAGUGAAGAAGUAUUUCGGUAUGUAAAGCUCUAUCAGCAGGAAAGAAAAUGACGGUACCUGACUAAGAAGCCCCGGCUAACUACGUGCCAGCAGCCGCGGUAAUACGUAGGGGGCAAGCGUUAUCCGGAUUUACUGGGUGUAAAGGGAGCGUAGACGGUUUUGCAAGUCUGAAGUGAAAGCCCGGGGCUUAACCCCGGGACUGCUUUGGAAACUGUAGAACUAGAGUGCAGGAGAGGUAAGUGGAAUUCCUAGUGUAGCGGUGAAAUGCGUAGAUAUUAGGAGGAACACCAGUGGCGAAGGCGGCUUACUGGACUGUAACUGACGUUGAGGCUCGAAAGCGUGGGGAGCAAACAGGAUUAGAUACCCUGGUAGUCCACGCCGUAAACGAUGAUUGCUAGGUGUUGGUGGGUAAGACCCAUCGGUGCC